Molecule: unclassified non-coding RNA, 182 nt
Organism: Chrysemys picta bellii (western painted turtle)
Lineage: Eukaryota; Metazoa; Chordata; Testudines; Emydidae
Source: Ensembl
UCCAUAGUCCUAGUGACUGACCACCACAGCCUUCCAUAGAAUAGACACAGCAUGCACAGUGGCAAUGCAAUUUCCCCCAUAGUGAGCCAGUCAAUGUGCCUCAACCCUGACAUGGAAGGACCACCCCUGGGGAUGGGAGACUUUUUCAAUCCCUCUGUGCCCAUUUGAAAUCCUUGGCCUCU